This 281-nucleotide long non-coding RNA is filed under the name Ananas comosus (pineapple). RNAcentral describes it as "long non-coding RNA (ACOM_LNC014237)". Lineage: Eukaryota; Viridiplantae; Streptophyta; Magnoliopsida; Poales; Bromeliaceae. The record is from RNAcentral.
UGUCAAUUUGACCGUCGCAUACCGAAAAUUUUCAAUUUGAAUUUCAUUAUCUGCAGUGGAAUUAUCUUCUCUUUUUUUAGAGAUAGAUAGUACGCUAUCCGUUUCGUUUAUUUCAUUUAGAAAUAAACUUAGCUGAAAAUGUGAAUCAAUUAGGAUUCAAACUUGAGACCUCAAAUACCAACCACUAAACCCUUUGCCAUUUGCUCUAGAAACGGUCUAUCUGCAGUGGAAUUAUGAAAUGCAUUAGCAAAUAUAUGUAUAUGUUCUCAUCAUGUCAUCAU